Molecule: long non-coding RNA, 403 nt
Filed under: Rattus norvegicus (Norway rat)
Lineage: Eukaryota; Metazoa; Chordata; Mammalia; Rodentia; Muridae
Description: long non-coding RNA NONRATT022084
Source: RNAcentral
GUUCUCGGGACUGGUUUAUUUUCCUGCCUUUCUGUAUUAAAGGCAGCUUGCAUCUCUUGGACCCUCAUCGAUUCAGACAGCCACCUUACAGCCCUCCUGAGAGAACCCUGCUGCAGAGAACCCUGGAGCACAGUGACGGACCAGAAAGCCAGCCGUGCAACGUGCGCUGCCUUCUCGCAGAUGGAUGCAAACUGAGGGCUGUCCCGGCAUGAGGGAAAUGUGUAACGACAGAAGACUGUGGCCUUGUAUCCCAGGACCAACCAAUGCAGGAGGAUUGGUCAGUUUUCCCGCUCUUCCUGGUACCAAUCACAGUGGCUUAGGGACAACCAUCUUAAUGACAACCUUUUCAUUUAAUUGCCAUCGAAGUCCUGCCUCCAGGCCCAGUCACCCUCAGGAACCAAUG